This 874-nucleotide ribosomal RNA is filed under the name uncultured archaeon. RNAcentral's name for it is "bacterial SSU rRNA". It matches the Rfam family "Archaeal small subunit ribosomal RNA", at positions 125 to 995 of the family's 1478-position model. The record is from RNAcentral.
CAUAACCUCCGUGAAAGCGUGGGGAUAAUUCCGGAUAACGCAUAUUUGCUGGAAUGCUUUAUGCGUCAAAAGGAUUCGUCUGCCCAAGGAUGGGUCUGCGGCCUAUCAGGUAGUAGUGGGUGUAAUGUACCUACUAGCCAGCGACGGGUACGGGUUGUGAGAGCAAGAGCCCGGAGAUGGAUUCUGAGACAUGAAUCCAGGCCCUACGGGGCGCAGCAGGCGCGAAAACUUUACAAUGCGGGAAACCGUGAUAAGGGGACACCGAGUGCCAGCAUCAUAUGCUGGCUGUCCGGAUGUGUAAAAUACAUCCGUUAGCAAGGGCCGGGCAAGACCGGUGCCAGCCGCCGCGGUAACACCGGCGGCCCGAGUGGUGAUCGUGAUUAUUGGGUCUAAAGGGUCCGUAGCCGGUUUGGUCAGUCCUCCGGGAAAUCUGAUAGCUCAACUAUUAGGCUUUCGGGGGAUACUGCCAGACUUGGAACCGGGAGAGGUAAGAGGUACUACAGGGGUAGGAGUGAAAUCUUGUAAUCCCUGUGGGACCACCUGUGGCGAAGGCGUCUUACCAGAACGGGUUCGACGGUGAGGGACGAAAGCUGGGGGCACGAACCGGAUUAGAUACCCGGGUAGUCCCAGCCGUAAACGAUGCUCGCUAGGUGUCAUGCAUGGCGCGACCGUGUCUGGUGCCGCACGGAAGCCGUGAAGCGAGCCACCUGGGAAGUACGGCCGCAAGGCUGAAACUUAAAGGAAUUGGCGGGGGAGCACAACAACGGGUGGAGCCUGCGGUUUAAUUGGACUCAACGCCGGACAACUCACCGGGGGCGACAGCAAUAUGUAGGCCAAGCUGAAGACUUUGCCUGAAUCGCUGAAAGGAGUGCAU